CAUACCGAAAGGUAUGCUAAUACGGGAUAAUAUAUUUGAGAGGCAUCUCUUGAAUAUCAAAGGUGAGCCAGUACAGGAUGGACCCGCGUCUGAUUAGCUAGUUGGUAAGGUAACGGCUUACCAAGGCGACGAUCAGUAGCCGACCUGAGAGGGUGAUCGGCCACAUUGGAACUGAGACACGGUCCAAACUCCUACGGGAGGCAGCAGUGGGGAAUAUUGCACAAUGGGCGAAAGCCUGAUGCAGCAACGCCGCGGGAGUGAUGAAGGCCUUCGGGUCGUAAAACUCUGUCCUCAAGGAAGAUAAUGACGGUACUUGAGGAGGAAGCCCCGGCUAACUACGUGCCAGCAGCCGCGGUAAUACGUAGGGGGCUAGCGUUAUCCGGAUUUACUGGGCGUAAAGGGUGCGUAGGCGGUCUUUCAAGUCAGGAGUGAAAGGCUACGG
This 442-nucleotide ribosomal RNA is filed under the name Clostridioides difficile. Its description in RNAcentral is "bacterial SSU rRNA". It matches the Rfam family "Bacterial small subunit ribosomal RNA", at positions 147 to 607 of the family's 1533-position model. The record is from RNAcentral. Lineage: Bacteria; Bacillati; Bacillota; Clostridia; Peptostreptococcales; Peptostreptococcaceae.